RNAcentral lists this ribosomal RNA (526 nucleotides) under uncultured bacterium. RNAcentral's name for it is "bacterial SSU rRNA". It matches the Rfam family "Bacterial small subunit ribosomal RNA", at positions 777 to 1301 of the family's 1533-position model. The record is from RNAcentral.
AAUAGAUACCCAGGUAGUCCACGCCGUAAACGAUGAGUGCUAAGUGUUAGAGGGUUUCCGCCCUUUAGUGCUGCAGCUAACGCAUUAAGCACUCCGCCUGGGGAGUACGGCCGCAAGGCUGAAACUCAAAGGAAUUGACGGGGGCCCGCACAAGCGGUGGAGCAUGUGGUUUAAUUCGAAGCAACGCGAAGAACCUUACCAGGUCUUGACAUCCUCUGCCAACCCUAGAGAUAGGGCGUUCCCCUUCGGGGGACAGAGUGGCAGGUGGUGCAUGGUUGUCGUCAGCUCGUAUCGUGAGAUGUUGGGUUAAGUCCCGCAACGAGCGCAACCCUUGAUCUUAGUUGCCAGCAUUCAGUUGGGCACUCUAAGGUGACUGCCGGUGACAAACCGGAGGAAGGUGGGGAUGACGUCAAAUCAUCAUGCCCCUUAUGACCUGGGCUACACACGUGCUACAAUGGAUGGUACAAAGAGCUGCGAACCCGCGAGGGUAAGCGAAUCUCAUAAAGCCAUUCUCAGUUCGGAUUGU